UGAGGAAUUUUCCGCAAUGGGCGAAAGCCUGACGGAGCGAUGCCGCGUGAGGGAAGAAUGCCUUCGGGUAGUAAACCUUUGUUGUUAGGGAAGAAGGGUUGCCCCUUAAUAGGGGGUAUAUCUUGACGGUACCUGACGAGGAAGCCCCGGCUAACUACGUGCCAGCAGCCGCGGUAAUACGUAGGGGGCAAGCGUUGUUCGGAAUUACUGGGCGUAAAGGGUGUGCAGGCGGUUAAAUAAGUUAGAUGUGAAAGCUAGGGGCUUAACCUCUAAAUUGCAUCUAAAACUGUAUAACUAGAGUAUGGUAGGGAAGAGCGGAAUUCCUGGUGUAGCAGUGAAAUGCGCAGAUAUCAGGAGGAACACCGGAGGCGAAGGCGGCUCUUUGGGCCAAUACUGACGCUGAUACACGAAAGCGUGGGGAGCAAACAGGAUUAGAUACCCUGGUAGUCCACGCUGUAAACGAUGAGAACUAGGCGUAGGGGGGACUGAAUCCUUCUGUGCCGAAGCUAACGCAUUAAGUUCUCCGCCUGGGGAGUACGGUCGCAAGAUUAAAACUCAAAGGAAUUGACGG
Molecule: ribosomal RNA, 571 nt
Filed under: uncultured Bacillota bacterium
Lineage: Bacteria; Bacillati; Bacillota
Description: bacterial SSU rRNA
Rfam family: Bacterial small subunit ribosomal RNA
Source: RNAcentral